Molecule: unclassified non-coding RNA, 174 nt
Filed under: uncultured Hypocreales
Lineage: Eukaryota; Fungi; Ascomycota; Sordariomycetes; Hypocreales
Description: sequence contains ITS2
Source: RNAcentral
CAACCCUCAGGGCCACCCUUUCGGGGGUUCGGCGCCUGGUGCUGGGGAUCAGCGGCCCUCCGGGGCCCCUGUCCCCCAAAUUCAGUGGCGGUCGCGCCGCAGCCUCCCCUGCGUAGUAGCACACCUCGCACCGGAGAGCGGCUCGGCCAAGCCGUUAAACCCCCAACUUCUGAA